RNAcentral lists this ribosomal RNA (216 nucleotides) under Triticum aestivum (bread wheat). RNAcentral's name for it is "partial small subunit ribosomal RNA". The record is from RNAcentral. Lineage: Eukaryota; Viridiplantae; Streptophyta; Magnoliopsida; Poales; Poaceae.
AUGUAUCAUGAGGGCGUCACCUGCGGCAUCACUUGCAUCGACCUCUCACCGAUCACCGUCCCGAGGAUGCACGACAGACUGGCGGAGCAGGGCACCAGUGAUUGUUUCACCAAUUUGCUCGACUCAUGGUUCCCUUCCUCUGUCCACGCAACGCUGCCCAUUGUUGCUAACUUGUUAAUUCAUCAGGCCCAUUAUUGCGGCUACAUAGUCUGUUAA